UCUCUUCUCUUUCCGGCUGUGGUACCUCUGUCAGGAACCCAGCACUCUGGUUUUCAGAGAGCCAGUUUCCUCUUCACCCUUGGCCUUCAGAGUGUCACAGGUGUUAGGGUGCUGGAGUCUCCUUCUGGAGGUGGUUUCCACGUUCUUCUCCAUCUCGAACAAAGAGUUGAAUGAAACAAGGAGCAUGGUGGCAAAGCUUCACAUUUAUUUGAGCUUCCACUGUCCUAAGAGAGGUAGAAAAUGAAAUAACAGAAACCCAGGAGAUCGCCGAUGAUCUAGG
Molecule: long non-coding RNA, 280 nt
Organism: Chinchilla lanigera (long-tailed chinchilla)
Lineage: Eukaryota; Metazoa; Chordata; Mammalia; Rodentia; Chinchillidae
Exons: 3
Source: RefSeq, a predicted model, not a curated record